GUUUAAUUGAUGAUAGAGAAACGGAAAAUCGACAUUCGGUGGACCAUGAUGAUUGUGAAAUCAGUGUUCAAGUUUGCAGUUUCUUUGUUUCAUGGCAGUUCUCUCUCUCCCUCCCCCACGCGCACCCCGCCUCUCUUUUCUAAUGCUGCUUAGUUUGUGAUUUUGAUCAUAGUCCCUGGUAGAGACACUUGCAAGAUUGCAAUGGUACACCAAGAAGAUGCUGGCCUGAAUGUUGAGAUGGCAAAACUAGCUUUUGCAAAGGGUAUAUGGAGUUAUGUAUGUAAGAUGGACAAUGCAUUGUGGAAAUACCCUCCUGCCCACUGUAUAGGCACAAACUUAGCUGUGACUGCUCUCUAGCUAAUUCAAUAGGACUAAUCAACAUGCAGUUGGAUGAAAAAAUUGGCAAUCUGAUUACAAUUUGGUACAGGUUCAUUAUCCAAUGGAAGCCUUUCAAAGUGUUCCAAUAGCUGAUUCCAAAGUGCAGCUUCUAGAAAUACAUGCAGAAGGCUGAAAUGAGGUGUCUCUUACCAAGAAGACUGCUGGAUCAUGGAUUUUUUUCUGGAUCCCCUCUACAUGAAGAAGAUAGGAAUAAGAAAUCAAAUGGCCUAUUUUGCAAUGUCUUUUUUGUGCUACGGGCUCGUGAGAAGUUUUUAUCAUUGAGGAAAGGUACAAAGUCGAAAGUUGUUGCUAUCUUA
Molecule: long non-coding RNA, 695 nt
Organism: Magnolia sinica
Lineage: Eukaryota; Viridiplantae; Streptophyta; Magnoliopsida; Magnoliales; Magnoliaceae
Exons: 3
Source: RefSeq, a predicted model, not a curated record